GAUGAACGCUGGCGGCGUGCCUAAUACAUGCAAGUCGAGCGAACAGACGAGGAGCUUGCUCCUCUGACGUUAGCGGCGGACGGGUGAGUAACACGUGGAUAACCUACCUAUAAGACUGGGAUAACUUCGGGAAACCGGAGCUAAUACCGGAUAAUAUGUUGAAUCGCAUGGUUCAACAGUGAAAGACGGUCUUGCUGUCACUUAUAGAUGGAUCCGCGCCGCAUUAGCUAGUCGGUAAGGUAACGGCUUACCAAGGCAACGAUGCGUAGCCGACCUGAGAGGGUGAUCGGCCACACUGGAACUGAGACACGGUCCAGACUCCUACGGGAGGCAGCAGUAGGGAAUCUUCCGCAAUGGGCGAAAGCCUGACGGAGCAACGCCGCGUGAGUGAAGAAGGUCUUCGGAUCGUAAAACUCUGUUAUUAGGGAAGAACAAAUGUGUAAGUAACUAUGCACGUCUUGACGGUACCUAAUCAGAAAGCCACGGCUAACUACGUG
RNAcentral lists this ribosomal RNA (497 nucleotides) under uncultured bacterium. RNAcentral describes it as "partial 16S ribosomal RNA". It matches the Rfam family "Bacterial small subunit ribosomal RNA", at positions 28 to 507 of the family's 1533-position model. The record is from RNAcentral.